RNAcentral lists this ribosomal RNA (240 nucleotides) under uncultured bacterium. RNAcentral describes it as "partial 16S ribosomal RNA". It matches the Rfam family "Bacterial small subunit ribosomal RNA", at positions 524 to 763 of the family's 1533-position model. The record is from RNAcentral.
UACGUAGGUGGCAAGCGUUGUCCGGAUUUACUGGGUGUAAAGGGCGUGUAGCCGGGCUGACAAGUCAGAUGUGAAAUCCGGGGGCUCAACCCCCGAACUGCAUUUGAAACUGUUGGUCUUGAGUAUCGGAGAGGCAGGCGGAAUUCCUAGUGUAGCGGUGAAAUGCGUAGAUAUUAGGAGGAACACCAGUGGCGAAGGCGGCCUGCUGGACGACAACUGACGGUGAGGCGCGAAAGCGUG